Long non-coding RNA from Perca flavescens (yellow perch), 431 nucleotides. RefSeq lists it as uncharacterized. The record is from RefSeq and is a predicted model, not a curated record. NCBI's taxonomy places the organism in Eukaryota, Metazoa, Chordata, Actinopteri, Perciformes, Percidae. The transcript is spliced from 3 exons.
GUGCCGUCUCUGUUCCGACAUUGGACGCCCGUGUUUCUUUAUUUUAUAGUCAAACCUGAGUCUAGACAACAGAAGAAACCCUCGGUUACAUUAGUAAACAAACAUCUGACCGGAAGUUGUUGGUACGACCCGUAAUACCAUCCGUCCCCGGAACUAACGGAGUAAAAGGCGCCGGUGUUUAGUUUCUUACGAAGAAAGAAAGGUCCCAAACUGCUGGAUGUGGUUUUAAAAGCUGAAACGAAGCUACACAAAGCAGGUCGGGGAGAAGAGGAGCAGAGCCGCGAGGAACUUUAACAUGAAGUCUGAGAGGAAGCUGUCAGCGGACCAGGGGACAGAUGUUCUGGAAGUGAUUGUUGGUGAAGAGGAGCAGCAGGAGUGUAUCUCCAUUGUGGACCAGCAGGAGGCAGAGCCCUCCCCAAACAUUAAAGAGG